RNAcentral lists this ribosomal RNA (254 nucleotides) under uncultured bacterium. Its description in RNAcentral is "partial 16S ribosomal RNA". It matches the Rfam family "Bacterial small subunit ribosomal RNA", at positions 524 to 776 of the family's 1533-position model. The record is from RNAcentral.
CACGUAGGGUGCGAGCGUUGUCCGGAAUUAUUGGGCGUAAAGAGCUCGUAGGCGGUGUGUCGCGUCGGCCGUGAAAACCUGCAGCUUAACUGUGGGCGUGCGGUCGAUACGGGCAUCACUGGAGUUCGGCAGGGGAGACUGGAAUUCCUGGUGUAGCGGUGAAAUGCGCAGAUAUCAGGAGGAACACCGGUGGCGAAGGCGGGUCUCUGGGCCGAUACUGACGCUGAGGCACGAAGGUCAGGGGAGCAAACGGG